GAGGAAGGUGGGGACGACGUCAAGUCAUCAUGCCCCUUACGUCUAGGGCUGCACACAUGCUACAAUGGGCGGUACAGAGGGCUGCUAAACCGCGAGGUGGAGCCAAUCCCUAAAACCGCUCUCAGUUCAGAUUGCAGGCCGCAACUCGCCUGCAUGAAGUUGGAGUUGCUAGUAAUCCCGGAUCAGCAUUGCCGGGGUGAAUACGUUCCCGGGCCUUGUACACGCCGCCCGUCAAACCACGAAAGUCGGCAACACCCGAAGCCGGUGGCCUAACCGUAAGGAAGGAGCCGUCGAAGGUGGGGUCGGUGAUUGGGGUUAAGUCGUAACAAGGUAGCCGUAA
RNAcentral lists this ribosomal RNA (340 nucleotides) under uncultured bacterium. RNAcentral's name for it is "bacterial SSU rRNA". It matches the Rfam family "Bacterial small subunit ribosomal RNA", at positions 1166 to 1505 of the family's 1533-position model. The record is from RNAcentral.